AUGCUUAACACAUGCAAGUCGAACGUGCCUUCGGGCAAGUGGCAGACGGCUGAGUAACGCGUGAGUAACACACCCUUCGGUGGGGUAUAGCCUCGGGAAACUGAGGGUAAUCCCGCAUACGAUCCCUACGCUCUGGUGUAGGGAUGAAAGCCUUCGGGCGCCGGAGGAGUGGCUCGCGUCCUAUCAGGUAGUUGGUGAGGUAACGGCUCACCAAGCCGAUGACGGGUAGCUGGUCUUAGAGGACGAUCAGCCAGAGGGGGACUGAGACACGGCCCCCACUCCUACGGGAGGCAGCAGCAGGGAAUUUUGGGCAAUGGACGAAAGUCUGACCCAGCGACGUCGCGUGGGGGAUGAAGGCUCUAGGGCUGUAAACCCCUUUUCCGAGGGAAGAGGAAGGACGGUACCUCGGGAAUAAGCUCCGGCUAACUACGUGCCAGCAGCCGCGGUAAUACGUAGGGAGCGAGCGUUACCCGGAAUUACUGGGCGUAAAGAGCACGUAGGCGGUUGGAUAAGUCUUCUGUGAAAGCUCCUGGCUCAACUGGGAGAGGUCAGGGGAUACUAUUCGACUUGAGGGCUGUAGAGGUAAGCGGAAUUCCCGGUGUAGCGGUGAAAUGCGUAGAUAUCUGAAGGAACACCAGUGG
RNAcentral lists this ribosomal RNA (641 nucleotides) under uncultured bacterium. RNAcentral describes it as "bacterial SSU rRNA". It matches the Rfam family "Bacterial small subunit ribosomal RNA", at positions 44 to 715 of the family's 1533-position model. The record is from RNAcentral.